UUUAAAUUUAAUUCUAAUUUUAAAGUUAAGUUUAUUUUUUAUUUAUAUGUAAGUUUUUGUAUUAAUAUAUUUAAAUUUAAAGAAUUUAAAUUUUAGAAUUUAUUCGCAGUAUGAAAUAUUAUAAAUUAAAGAAUUUUUGAUUUAGAAAUAUAUAAUAGUAUUAACUUAAUUUGUGCCAGCAGUUGCGGUUAUACAAAUAAUACAAUUUAAUUUUAUUAGUUUGUAAUUAAGAAAUUAUUAAUAUAAAUUUAAUUUAAAUUUUGUAAGUGAAAUUUAAAAUUUAAUUAAUUUUAAUUGAAUUAAUUUGAAGUUAUUAAAUUUUAUUAAUAAACUAGGAUUAGAUACCCUAUUAUUUAAAAUGUAAAUUUUAAAAACUAAAUUAGUAAUAGUUAUAUUCUUGAAAUUUAAAGAAUUUGGCGGUAUUUUAGUCUUUUCAGAGGAACCUGCCCUGUAAUCGAUAAUCCACGAUUAAUUUUACUUAUUUUAAUAGUUUGUAUACCGUCGUAGUGGAAUAUUUUAAAAGAAAUAAAAAUAUUCAAUAUUUUUUAUAAAAAAAUAAAUCAGAUCAAGGUGCAGUUUAUAAAUAAGAAGAGGUGUGUUACAAUAAAUAUAUUUAUAUGGUUUAAAAAUUGAAAUUUUUUUUUUAAAGUGGAUUUGAAAGUAAUAUAAUUUAUUUAAAUUAUAUGAUUUAAGCUCUAAAAUAUGCACAUAUCGCCCGUCACUCCUAUUUUUAAAAUAGGAUAAGUCGUAACAAAGUAGGUGUACUGGAAAGUGUACCUAGAAUCAC
Molecule: non-coding RNA, 787 nt
Filed under: Anoplotrupes stercorosus
Lineage: Eukaryota; Metazoa; Arthropoda; Insecta; Coleoptera; Geotrupidae
Source: RNAcentral